GGGUCAGUAGGUUGGUCGUGCCACAGGUACGUACUGGUCUCACUGAUUCCUCCUUCCUGAAGAACCGUAAUGCCAUUAAUUUGGUGUUGCGGGGAAACAGGACUGUUACUUUGAAAAAAUUAGAGUGUUUAAAGCAAGCUAACGCUUGAAUACAUUAGCAUGGAAUAAUGAAAUAGGACGAUCGAUCCUAUUUUGUUGGCUUCUAGGAUUGACGUA
RNAcentral lists this ribosomal RNA (216 nucleotides) under Glomeromycotina sp. RNAcentral's name for it is "partial small subunit ribosomal RNA". The stretch from base 40 to 216 matches the Rfam family "Eukaryotic small subunit ribosomal RNA", at positions 686 to 864 of the family's 1831-position model. Lineage: Eukaryota; Fungi; Glomeromycota. The record is from RNAcentral.